This 253-nucleotide ribosomal RNA is filed under the name uncultured bacterium. RNAcentral's name for it is "partial 16S ribosomal RNA". It matches the Rfam family "Bacterial small subunit ribosomal RNA", at positions 524 to 776 of the family's 1533-position model. The record is from RNAcentral.
UACAGAGGGGGCAAGCGUUGUUCGGAAUUACUGGGCGUAAAGGGCGCGUAGGUGGCCUUCUAAGUUGAACGUGAAAUCCCUGGGCUCAACCCAGGAACUGCGUCCAAGACUGGGAGGCUUGAAUCCGGGAGAGGGAUGCGGAACUCCAGGUGUAGCGGUGAAAUGCGUAGAUAUCUGGAGGAACACCGGUGGCGAAGGCGGCAUCCUGGACCGGGAUUGACACUGAGGCGCGAAAGCCAGGGGAGCAAACGGG